CCUACGGGUGGCAGCAGUGGGGAAUAUUGGGCAAUGGGCGCAAGCCUGACCCAGCAACGCCGCGUGAAGGAAGAAGGCUUUCGGGUUGUAAACUUCUUUUGACAGGGAAGAGUAGAAGACGGUACCUGUCGAAUAAGCCACGGCUAACUACGUGCCAGCAGCCGCGGUAAUACGUAGGUGGCAAGCGUUGUCCGGAUUUACUGGGUGUAAAGGGCGUGUAGCCGGGUUGACAAGUCAGAUGUGAAAUCCUGCGGCUUAACCGCGGAACUGCUUUGGAAACUGUAUAGCUUGAGUACUGGAGAGGCAGGCGGAAUUCCUAGUGUAGCGGUGAAAUGCGUAGAUAUUAGGAGGAACACCAGUGGCGAAGGCGGCCUGCUGGACAGAAACUGACGUUGAGGCUCGAAAGCGUGGGGAGCAAACAGGAUUAGAUACCCGUGUAGUC
RNAcentral lists this ribosomal RNA (442 nucleotides) under uncultured bacterium. RNAcentral describes it as "partial 16S ribosomal RNA". It matches the Rfam family "Bacterial small subunit ribosomal RNA", at positions 338 to 795 of the family's 1533-position model. The record is from RNAcentral.